GGGAUGAUUCAGAUCCUCUUCUUCAGCGUGGCAUUGGACGACAGAAAGAAGGAUUCGAACACACACUUCAAUUUACGUGCGCACAUCCAGGUCCUCCCCACUGUCGGGUGCGACGUCGACCGCUAGAGAGGAUAUGAGUCCUGGGGUGAGAUUAGAGGACAUAGUGGGUGAGCUAGUUGGGGACAGGGGAGCAUGGUGUGAGAUGGAGAGGGAAUGGGUGGUGGAGGCGACAGCGUUAGGCCUUGAGCUUCCGUCGACGGUGGUAAAGCACCGAGUUGGUUGCAAUUCGUUUCAGAAGGAAGAGGGAAGAAGACGGGAAGGAAACAGCGAGGGAGCCACGGAGGGAGAACACAACGCUGUGCAAUCAUCUCACUCUCCUAAACUACGACACCAGCAACAGGUUUGGACAGAACUCGCCCUUUUUGGAGCAGGUCGUGGCAAGAGAAGAGAAAUUUGAAUUGCAAUCUUUCCCAUCUUCUAUGUGUAAACAACUCCAAAUCGGAUAUUGAAGACUGCAUUUGAUGGAGUGCCUAAACAGCUUGUUAGCAUUGGGAGCAGUUUUCCAAGGGGUGUUCUGCUUCUAAAUUCUAUGUGUCUGAUUGAUAUUUUUCUGAUGAUUCAAAUUUUUGAUCUUUUAUCAUGGGUAAUAUUGUAAGAGAAUGGAUUCAGGGUUCUAGGUGGUGUUGUUUCUUCAAAAGCUGUUCCUUUGAAUGAGGUUUUGCUUAGAGCAUCAACUGUUAUUGGGUUUGGCAGUGAGGGCACUAGGUUGAGGCCUUUAGUUGAGAGAUCUUGUAUUCAGUUGACAAGAUUCCCUGGAAACGUUCACACUGUCUUUGCAAGGAUAAUUCAAGCAGAGGAAACUGAGAUAAUGGACCGUGGAUGCUCUGGUGAAGAGUUCCAAUCCUUCUUGGCUGUUGAAAGCUUGACUGUCUGUGUUGCAGUGGGAAUGCUUCUUCAUCAUUUUGCUUUGCUAGAAACAACAUCAAUGGCCAUAAUUUAUUGCUACGGUGAUAAGCAAACCUAUGCACUUAUUGCAAAUGCAUCAAAUGAUUUUUCACAUGAUUAUUUAACUUCUUGCGUGGAUUUUUACAGCCUAUAAGCAGUAUAGAAUUCUUGACUAGGCUCUGAGGUGUGCCUGUUGUUUCUUUGAGCAACUCAAUAGUUUGGGCUCAUUCAACUACUCAUAGAGUUAUUAGUACCUAUCAUAUGGUAGCUUAUGUAUGAAAUUUCAUUUGAAGAGAAGUAGGUUCUUGCUUUAGUCUCCAAUUGUACUUUAGUUUGCGUUUGUCCCUACAUGCUUCAUAUGUCACUGUGAGAGCCUAACAAUUCUAGCCACUCUUAUGUUUUUGAACCAGUCAACAACUAGAUUUUACUUGGCAAAUGAAGUACGUACUAAUCCACUAUGACUUCCAUUCUCUUAUGUUGCUUCUCAACUACAUUGCUUUAUUAGCUCUCAUUCCAUUUCUAAUACUGGCUUCAUGUCAUCUCCCACAAAAGUAGAGCUCAAUUUGGUUGUUGAGGCCUGGGCAAUCUGACCUGAGUCUCUCAUGUAUGUGUCUGUUGGUGUCAUAAAAUGAGUGGCUGGUUUAAUGCAACAUGUUGAUCGCAGGUUCAAAACUUGGAAACAACCUCUUCUGCGAAGCAGGGUCAGGCUGCAUACACUUGCCCCUCCCAAACCCUGCAGUAGCAAGAGCCUUGUGCAUUGGGUUGCUCUUUUUUUUUUUUUUAAUAGUGAUAUUUAAGUUAUAAAUCCACGAGUACAGAUGAUAACACUGAUUUUCAUCUUCAGGUUGCAUGAUCUAUUUAUCUAAAGCUUCAGAUCAUUUGGCUUGGUUCAGAGAUCCAACUGGUCAACCUAGCUGAUAUCCCCUUAGUUGUGUUGUGUUCUAACGUUUUGAUUUAUUGGCUUUACACAUGAAUGGGUCAAUGAAUUCAUGAUUUAACAGCUUCAGACUUUACUUCCAGUUUUUGAUAAUUCUUAAGUAAUGGCUUAUGUUGGGUUUCAUGGAGUUCCUGAUCUGAUGCUCUAUGGGAUUCGUCUUAUUUUGAUGUUCAAAAUUUUGAAAUACUUGCUUUAACUGUUUCGUUUUAUAGUAUGUAUGAUGUGGCUUUUACUCCAACCAUGAAAUGUCUCAAUGACAAAUAAGCAAGAGGGACUUGCUUGAUGUGGCUUUUACUCCAACCAUGAAAUGUCUCAAUGACAAAUAAGCAAGAGGGACUUGCUUGCUGUAUAACCGUGGCAUGUAUUUUUAUUUCCCUUUUUGCUAGUUUUAAAUCUAGGUUAUGCCCUUGUUCUAUAAAGGAAAAGCAUGACUUCACUCAUUUCUAGUUUGACUUGUUUAAAUCUGAAAAUUUUGAUACUAUUGUUCUUAAUUAUUCAAUCAUAAUUGCUCUCAUUUGCAUUUUUGUAUGAAAGUCUUUAGCUCAAAUAGAUAGAGCAUUUGGGGAUUCCCCAAGAGGUGGUGGUUCAAAUCCAUCAAGACUCUUGAAUGUUCUUAUGUCUAAUUUCUUAUCCAUUUGGGUCGUGGGAUCGAUAUAGAUCGGUUCCUAAUAUCGAGACGUUGGUGCAUAUGACAAAAA
Molecule: long non-coding RNA, 2580 nt
Organism: Macadamia integrifolia
Lineage: Eukaryota; Viridiplantae; Streptophyta; Magnoliopsida; Proteales; Proteaceae
Exons: 4
Source: RefSeq, a predicted model, not a curated record